Molecule: long non-coding RNA, 2246 nt
Organism: Equus caballus (horse)
Lineage: Eukaryota; Metazoa; Chordata; Mammalia; Perissodactyla; Equidae
Source: Ensembl
UCCGCCCCCAGCGUCUGCUCUGGGCCUGGGAGACCCCAUCACCCCCGCCCCCACCCCACAUAGCCCCAUUGUGAGUCCGUGUAGCUGGCCUUGUCUGUUGACUUCUCUCCAUCCCGGGGCGGGGGGGGGGGGGGGGGGGGGCCGGUUCAGGUGCCUGGGGUGGAGGGUGGAGGGGUGAGGCGGUGCGGGGCUCGGAGACCAGCCUCAGAGCUCCCCAGGCUCCUUAGACCCACUCAAGAACUUGCCAGUAAAAUGAGGGACAAUGUGCAUAUUGGAAAAUUCAAGUCCAGGCAGGUGGGCUAUAUGCAUGUUCCAGGCUGCUGUUUGCCGUGGCCCUGGAGGACCUCACUGGAGAACAAAUAUUGAUGCUUUGUUAGCGCACACAGACAUUCUCGGCAAUGCUGAUUAGCGCUUGGGGCUGAUCCGACCAAGGUCAGGGGCUUGUGCCCCCUCAAACUGCACCCAUUAGCUUCUCUUAGAGAAGCCCGGAGACGACACGCCUGGCGGUGGGAGGGGGCUUUCCAGUCCACCAGCAUGGACCCGAAUGCUCAGGCCUCCCUGCCUCUAAGGCUUUCACCUUCCAUGGCUUCAGAGGAUCGCAUGAGGUCAACACCAGCUAAGACGUGUGAAGCCCUUGACACAGAGCUCAGCAGAGACAGGAUGCUCAGUCCAUGGGAGCCAUGAUGAUGAUAAUGAUUAUUAACAUGUUCCCAAGGUGGCCUUCGUCUGCUAAGCGUCUUUUCAACUCUCUUUUUUCCUCCUCUCAACGUGGACCAGCUACACUUGAAGUGCUCAAGAGCCACACUCAGCUGGUCGCUACCUUACAGAUGGCGCAGGUCCAGAAGAUGGGCCUCAGAACUGAGUCUGACCUGUUAAACGACCCUGCACACGGCUAUUGGGGGGAUUUCUUAAGUCUCUGGGUAAAGCUACGGAAAACAAAUGGUGGCUCCAGGAGCUGGUCCUUAAAGCAAUCGGUGAGUCCCAAGAUUAAAAUUCAACUGCAGCCAAAUUCUGCUAUAAACAGCUUCCCUCCACCUGGGGUCCGGGAGGCGGGCAGACGCAGUCCCCUCUCCUGGGCAUCCACCCAUGAAAGCCCCGCCUCACGGCAUCACCCAAAGCUGUCAAUUACCCGUCAUGCCCGCCCGGCUCCCAGCUACAGCAGGCUUUUACAGUCCGUCUGUAAGGCGCUCUCAAUUUGUGGCCGGACCUUCCUAAGGCUUGUUCUUACCCAGCAAUCCAAAUAAAAAUAGUGCUAUUGAUCACAAAGGCAUCAAUAACGUCAGCCCUAAAGCUACUCGUGCACAUUUUUAAUUGUCCUGUCCCUUUUUAUAUCUUUAAAUAUCACCAUAAGCUUCUAGGAGACAGGCUUCCUCUCCUUGGGAGGGAGGAAAGCGCUCUCCCCGCUCAGCUGAAAGCAGUCGGGAUUGUACCUCACACUGUUAAUGAUGGCGAGGUCCCUUUUCGUGAAGAAGAAAAUAAACCACCGGCUGACCCCACUUUGGGCCCGGUGUUAGAACGCAGAGGAAAUGCUGUCCCAUUACGCCUAAUUUCUCAUUGUUUUCCCGACUGGUUCACAUCCCAGCAAUUAUGCUUCAUUUGCUGGAACAGAGAACAGUAAAAUGCCCAGCUGGUAGGCAAUCCCCCCGUGAUUAAAGCAUGGGCCGAUCAGAAAGCUGACGUCCAAUAGAUUAAUCAAGAAAUAAGGAAGGAAUGCCUGUGUUUGAUGCUUGUGAAUCUGCACAUGUGGAUCUCCAGAUGUUUCAACUUAAUUUUUACCGCCAUAAAAACUAAGAAAGAGAAAACGGGAGUGAUGCCAACAGCCAGGCAAACGCCCCCAGCAAAGCGACCAUUCGGCAGCCUCUGGAAUCUUCUUCUCAUGUCUGGUGGAAGGCAGGCUCCUCCCCAGAGCCGUAAGCAGGGCCUUCCUGGGGCCUCUCGAAGUGUGUGCAACGUGGAGAAAAAUUAUCGGCUCCGAAAUUUGACAAGAAAGCAGCAAAAUCAAAAUUAAUAAAUGCUUCAUUAAACGCCUGCCAAAUACAGCAAUGAGGCCUCCUCGGCGCUUGUUGGAUGCAGUAUUCACGAUGCGGUCGUCAUAAAAACUUCAUUACAUUUGAGAAAACAGCUACGAGAACUCCUAAGGAUGCUAUUGGUUGUGGGGGGAAUCACAGGUAAUUCCGACUUUGAUGAAUUACCCACCACCAGAUAAUUUAAGAAGCUGAAUCAUUAAACUCCUUUCAAAUAUUUUU